CGGAGUGUAGCUCAGCCUGGUAGAGCACUGCCUUCGGGAGGCAGGGGCCGGAGGUUCGAAUCCUCUCACUCCGACCA
RNAcentral lists this transfer RNA (77 nucleotides) under Cohaesibacter marisflavi. RNAcentral's name for it is "tRNA_Pro_CGG". It matches the Rfam family "tRNA". From Rfam's summary of the family: Transfer RNA (tRNA) molecules are approximately 80 nucleotides in length. Their secondary structure includes four short double-helical elements and three loops (D, anti-codon, and T loops). Further hydrogen bonds mediate the characteristic L-shaped molecular structure. tRNAs have two regions of fundamental functional importance: the anti-codon, which is responsible for specific mRNA codon recognition, and the 3' end, to which the tRNAs corresponding amino acid is attached (by aminoacyl-tRNA synthetases). tRNAs cope with the degeneracy of the genetic code in two manners: having more than one tRNA (with a specific anti-codon) for a particular amino acid; and 'wobble' base-pairing, i.e. permitting non-standard base-pairing at the 3rd anti-codon position. The record is from RNAcentral. Lineage: Bacteria; Pseudomonadati; Pseudomonadota; Alphaproteobacteria; Hyphomicrobiales; Cohaesibacteraceae. RNAcentral also lists the same sequence under 28 other names.